GGGAUUUUGUUUUGUUUUCCUCUACCCAAAGGUAUAUUUCCCAAGAGAUAUAACUAAAACAUUCAAUAAUAUUUCUUUGUAUAGCAUCCAAUAAUGCAAUGGCUGGAAGACAAGAAAGCGAUGGAGUAGCUGGGCGGGUGCACUGGAUAUUAUCAAUAAUUUUGAUGCUGUGGAGUUACCAGAGCAGUGGACAAGGACAAGUUCUAGGUUUAGGAGCUGGAUGGAAACUGUGCACUGGAAUUCUACAACUAGUCACCAGACGUGCAGAAGAGCUGUUCUGUGAUGUAAACUGUAUCUGUACAAAAAGGUGGGUUGGUUUUCUAAAGCUCCCAGUUCAAUAUUUUAGUCUUUGACUUGGAAAAGCAGGUA
Molecule: long non-coding RNA, 369 nt
Filed under: Manacus vitellinus (golden-collared manakin)
Lineage: Eukaryota; Metazoa; Chordata; Aves; Passeriformes; Pipridae
Description: lncRNA (ENSMVIG00005003529.1)
Source: RNAcentral